Molecule: ribosomal RNA, 913 nt
Filed under: Alternaria tellustris
Lineage: Eukaryota; Fungi; Ascomycota; Dothideomycetes; Pleosporales; Pleosporaceae
Description: LSU rRNA
Rfam family: Eukaryotic large subunit ribosomal RNA
Source: RNAcentral
GAAGCAUAUCAAUAAGCGGAGGAAAAGAAACCAACAGGGAUUGCCCUAGUAACGGCGAGUGAAGCGGCAACAGCUCAAAUUUGAAAUCUGGCUCUUUUAGAGUCCGAGUUGUAAUUUGCAGAGGGCGCUUUGGCUUUGGCAGCGGUCCAAGUUCCUUGGAACAGGACGUCACAGAGGGUGAGAAUCCCGUACGUGGUCGCUGGCUAUUGCCGUGUAAAGCCCCUUCGACGAGUCGAGUUGUUUGGGAAUGCAGCUCUAAAUGGGAGGUACAUUUCUUCUAAAGCUAAAUAUUGGCCAGAGACCGAUAGCGCACAAGUAGAGUGAUCGAAAGAUGAAAAGCACUUUGGAAAGAGAGUCAAACAGCACGUGAAAUUGUUGAAAGGGAAGCGCUUGCAGCCAGACUUGCUUACAGUUGCUCAUCCGGGCUUUUGCCCGGUGCACUCUUCUGUAGGCAGGCCAGCAUCAGUUUGGGCGGUAGGAUAAAGGUCUCUGUCACGUACCUCUCUUCGGGGAGGCCUUAUAGGGGAGACGACAUACUACCAGCCUGGACUGAGGUCCGCGCAUCUGCUAGGAUGCUGGCGUAAUGGCUGUAAGCGGCCCGUCUUGAAACACGGACCAAGGAGUCUAACAUCUAUGCGAGUGUUUGGGUGUCAAGCCCGAGCGCGUAAUGAAAGUGAACGGAGGUAGGAACCCGCAAGGGUGCACUAUCGACCGAUCCUGAUGUCUUCGGAAGGAUUUGAGUAAGAGCAUGGCUGUUGGGACCCGAAAGAUGGUGAACUAUGCUUGAAUAGGGUGAAGCCAGAGGAAACUCUGGUGGAGGCUCGCAGCGGUUCUGACGUGCAAAUCGAUCGUCAAAUUUGGGCAUAGGGGCGAAAGACUAAUCGAACUAUCUAGUAGCUGGUUCCUGCCGAGU